CGUUUACUGUUCAUCUUACAACA
Molecule: non-coding RNA, 23 nt
Filed under: Arabidopsis thaliana (thale cress)
Lineage: Eukaryota; Viridiplantae; Streptophyta; Magnoliopsida; Brassicales; Brassicaceae
Source: RNAcentral